Molecule: ribosomal RNA, 253 nt
Filed under: uncultured bacterium
Lineage: Bacteria
Description: partial 16S ribosomal RNA
Rfam family: Bacterial small subunit ribosomal RNA
Source: RNAcentral
UACGUAGGGGGCAAGCGUUAUCCGGAAUUACUGGGUGUAAAGGGAGCGUAGACGGUGAUGUAAGUCUGGAGUGAAAGGCGGGGGCCUAACCCCCGGACUGCUCUGGAAACUAUGUGACUGGAGUGCAGGAGAGGUGAGCGGAAUUCCUAGUGUAGCGGUGAAAUGCGUAGAUAUUAGGAGGAACACCAGUGGCGAAGGCGGCUCACUGGACUGUAACUGACGUUGAGGCUCGAAAGCGUGGGGAGCAAACAGG